UGGGGACCUUCGGGCCUGCCGUUGUUGGAUGAGUCCGCGGCCCAUUAGCUAGUUGGUAGGGUAAUGGCCUACCAAGGCUACGAUGGGUAGCUGGUCUGAGAGGAUGAUCAGCCACACUAGAACUGAGACACGGUCCAG
This 138-nucleotide ribosomal RNA is filed under the name uncultured bacterium. RNAcentral describes it as "partial 16S ribosomal RNA". It matches the Rfam family "Bacterial small subunit ribosomal RNA", at positions 194 to 334 of the family's 1533-position model. The record is from RNAcentral.